This 484-nucleotide ribosomal RNA is filed under the name uncultured bacterium. Its description in RNAcentral is "partial 16S ribosomal RNA". It matches the Rfam family "Bacterial small subunit ribosomal RNA", at positions 29 to 507 of the family's 1533-position model. The record is from RNAcentral.
AUUGAACGCUGGCGGCAUGCUUUACACAUGCAAGUCGAACGGCAGCGCGGGCUUCGGCCUGGCGGCGAGUGGCGAACGGGUGAGUAAUACAUCGGAACGUGCCCAGUAGUGGGGGAUAGCUCGGCGAAAGCCGGAUUAAUACCGCAUACGACCUGAGGGUGAAAGCGGGGGAUCUUCGGACCUCGCGCUAUUGGGGCGGCCGAUGGCAGAUUAGCUAGUUGGUGGGGUAAAGGCCUACCGAGGCGACGAUCUGUAGCUGGUCUGAGAGGACGACCAGCCACACCGGGACUGAGACACGGCCCAGACUCCUACGGGAGGCAGCAGUGGGGAAUUUUGGACAAUGGGCGAAAGCCUGAUCCAGCAAUGCCGCGUGUGUGAUGAAGGCCUUCGGGUUGUAAAGCACUUUUGGCGGGAACGAAAAGGACUGUGCCAAUACCACGGUUCGAUGACGGUACCCGCAGAAUAAGCACCGGCUAACUACGUG